Molecule: long non-coding RNA, 511 nt
Filed under: Helianthus annuus (common sunflower)
Lineage: Eukaryota; Viridiplantae; Streptophyta; Magnoliopsida; Asterales; Asteraceae
Description: sRNA HanXRQr2_Chr03g0099211
Rfam family: mir-156 microRNA precursor family (bases 193-291)
Source: RNAcentral
GUGACAGAAGAGAGUGAGCACACAUGGGUUUUCUUGCAAAAUAAUUAUUUAGCCUCAUGUAUGCUUCAAACUAUGUGUGCUCACCCUCUAUCUGUCACCCCCCUCCUCUUUCUCUCUCUAGUUAUGUACAUGUGUGUCUCUUAUCUUCUACUGCCUAUGUAUAUGAUGGGAAGAUGCAAAGGUAAAAGGGUGGUGACAGAAGAGAGUGAGCACACAUGGAUUUUCUUGCAAAAUAAUCAAUUUAGCCUCAUGUAUGCUUGAAACUAUGUGUGCUCACCCUCUAUCUGUCACCCCCUCCUCUUUCUCUCUCUAGUUAUGUACAUGUGUGUCUCUAAUCUACUAAUGUGUAAAUUUAUAUGUCAUGUAUUUUAAGGGUAAGAUUGUAAGGGAAGGAGUCGUGACAGAAGAGAGUGAGCACAGAUGGGCUUUCUUGCAUGAUAUUAGAUGGAGAUAUAGCAAAUACAAGGUUUCGUAUGCUUGAAGCCAUGUGUGCUCACUCUCUAUCUGUCAU